This 2670-nucleotide long non-coding RNA is filed under the name Homo sapiens (human). RNAcentral describes it as "HSALNT0205098". The record is from RNAcentral. Lineage: Eukaryota; Metazoa; Chordata; Mammalia; Primates; Hominidae.
CGCCAAGAAAAUAGAAAGAGAAGAUAGCCACAAGUUAUAGCCUCGGUAGAUUUUCAACAUAUUUGGGUAAUACGUUUUAAUUGAUCUCAGAACCAUCUAUGACAGACCCACAGCCAACAUCAUACUGAAUGGGGAAAAGCUGGAAGCAUUCUUCUUGAAAACCAGUACAAGACAAGGAUGCCAUCUCUCACCACUCCUAUUUAACAUAGUAUUAGAAGUCUUGGCCAGAACAAUUAGGCAAGAGAAAGAAAGAAAGGAUGUCCAGAUAGUAAGAGAGGAAGUCAAACUAUCCCUGUUUGCAGAUGACAUGAUUCUAUAUCUAGAAAACACCAUAGUCUGAGCCCAAAAGCUUCUUAAGCUGAUAAACAACUUCAGCAAGUCUCAGAAUACAAAAAUUGCUAGCAUUCCUAUACAGCAACAACAACCAAGCCGAGAGCCAAAUCAGGAAUUCAAUCUCAUUCACAAUUGCCCAAAAAGAAUAAAAUAUUUAGGAAUACAGCUAACCAGGAGGGUGAAGUAUCUCUACAAUGAGAACUGUAAAACACUGCUUAAGGAAAUCAGAGAUGACACAAACAAAUUUUAAAAAAAUUCUUUGCUCCUGGAUAGAAAGAUAUCCUAUACAUAUCAUUAAAAUGGUCAUACUACCUAAAGCAGUUUAUAGACUCAAUGCUAUUCCUAUCAAACUACCAAUGAUAUUCUUCAUAGUACCAGAAAAAAAAAAAACUAUUUUAAAAUUCAUAUAGAAUAAAAAAAGAGCCCAAAUAGCCAAGACAAUCUUAAGAAAAAAGAACAAAACUGGCGGCAUCUUGUUACCCAACUUCAAACUAUAUCACAGGGCUACACUAACUAAAACAGCAUGGUACUAGGACAAAAACAGACACAUAGACAAAUGGAACAGAAUAGAGGCCUAGAAAUAAGUCCACACACCUACAACCAUCUGAUCUUCCACAAAGCUGACAAAUACAAGAAACGGGGAAAAGACUCCCUAUUCAAUAAGCAGUGUUGGGUUAACUGGCUAGCUACAUGCAGAAGAUUACAACUGAAGCCAUUUCUUACACCAUGUACAAAAAUCAACACAAGAUGGAUUUAAUACUUAAAUGUAAAACCCAAAACUAUAAAAAUGCUAGAAGACAACCUAUGUAGUAUCAUUCAGGACACAGAAACAGGCAAAGAGUUAUGACAAAGACACCAAAGAGCAAUUGCAAAAAAAAAGCAAAAAAUUGACAAAUGGGAUCUAAUUAAACUUAAGAGCUUCUGCACAGCAAAUGAAACUAUCAACAGAGUAAACAGACAACGUACUGUAUGGGAGAAAAUAUUUGCAGCUAUGCAUCUGACAAAGUUCUAAUAUAGCAUCUAUAAGGAACUUAAAUUUACAAAUAACAAAAGAAAACACAUUAAAAAGUGGGCAGAGGAAAUGAACAGACACUUCUGUAAAGAAGACAUACAUCGGCCAAAAAUCAUAUGAAAAGAAGCUGAAUAUCACUUAUUAUUAGAGAAAUGCAAAUCAAAACCACAAUGAGAUACCAUCUCACACCUGUCAGAAUGGCUAAUAGUAAAAAUUCAAAAAAUAACAUAUGCUGGCAAGUGGCAAUGUUGUGGAGAAAAGAGAACAAGUAUACACUGUUGGUGGGCGUGUAAAUUAGGUCAUCCAUUGUGGAAGACAGUGUGGCGAUUCCUCAAAGUGCUAAAAACAGAACUACCAUUCAACCCAGCCAUCUUAUUACUGGGUUUAUACCCAGAGGAAUAUAAAUCAUUUCACCAUAAAGACACAUGUAUAUGUAUGUUCACUGCAGCACUGUUCACAAUAGCAAACACAUAGAAUCAAUCUCAAUGCCCAUCAGUGACAGAUUGGAUGAAGAAAAUGUGAUACAUUUGCACCAUGGUAUACUAUGCAGCCAUAAAAAAUGAGAUUGUGUCUUUUCUGGGAACAUGGAUGGAAUUGGAGGCCCUUAUUUUUAGCAAACUAAUACAGAAACAGAAAACAAAUAGUGCAUGUUCUCACUUAUGAGUGGAAGCUAAAUCAUGACAGCUCAUGAACACAAAGAAGGGAACAACAGAUACUGGGGCCUCCUUGAGGGUGGAGGUGGGAGGAGGGAGAGGAACAGGAAAAAUAGCUAUUGAGUACUAAGCUUAGUACCUGGGUGACGAAAUAAUCUGUACAUCAAGCCUCCUUGACAUGAGUUUACCUACAUACAACAAACCUGGACAUGUACCCCCAAAUCUAAAAUAAGAGUUAAAAAAUAUAAAAACUAAAAUGAAAAAAUGAUCUUAUUUAAACAUACGUUUUAACGUAUAUGGAAAAUUUAUUUUGGGUGCUCCAUGUGGCAGCUCAAAGGUAGAGGCAGUCAUCCUACUCAAUUGCUAAAAAAUGAUUUACAGGAAAAGACUUGUGUCAGAUGACCAGGAAAUUUACCCAUAUGUAUUAACAUUUUGUGAACAGAGAAAAUCAACAUGGGUUUUGUAACAUGAACCCCAAAUCAAAAGAUACAAGGGCAAAUUCCUCUAGAUUUCAGAUAUUGAUGAAUUUUUAUAGUUGUUUCUCAAAUAGGCAACUUUACUACAGCAAUUUCCAAGUUUCCUAGUAAUAGGGAAUUAUAUAUUUAUCUGUGGUUGAUUAUUCCCUAUAGGCAAUCCUAGAGGAUGGUUUCUAGCUACUUUGUUAAAGAGAGA